GAAAGGAGCUGAGUUGAUUGAAAUAACAGAGGAGCUACCCUUUAGUGGAGCUGAGAUCUGGAAGUGUCUUCCACGUUAAAGUAAUGGGCUCUGUUUCCAGAAUGUGUGGACUCCCUGUUUCCACCACUCUCCCUGCUCUCCCUGGGGCCUCUCCUUCAAGCCUCUACAACAGUGCCCCUUGCACCAGCUGGCCAGCUGGCCCUGCCCUGUCCUGCCUGCCUCCAGCCCCCACG
This 233-nucleotide long non-coding RNA is filed under the name Fukomys damarensis (Damara mole-rat). RNAcentral's name for it is "lncRNA (ENSFDAG00000025033.1)". Lineage: Eukaryota; Metazoa; Chordata; Mammalia; Rodentia; Bathyergidae. The record is from RNAcentral.